AACCAUAGAAACCUGCGGAGUACCUGCGGAAGGAUCAUUACCGAGUGCGGGUCCUCGUGGCCCAACCUCCCACCCGUGACUAUUGUACCUUGUUGCUUCGGCGGGCCCGUGCCCGCCGGAGACCCCAACAUGAACCCUGUUCUGAAAGCUUGCAGUCUGAGUGUGAUUCUUUGCAAUCAGUUAAAACUUUUAACAAUGGAUCU
This 203-nucleotide unclassified non-coding RNA is filed under the name soil metagenome. RNAcentral describes it as "partial contains 5.8S ribosomal RNA, internal transcribed spacer 2, and large subunit ribosomal RNA". The record is from RNAcentral.